GACGACGUAGCUCAGUUGGCAGAGCAUUGGACUAGUAUCCCAAAGGUCGCGGGUUCGAUUCCCAUCGUGGUCA
Molecule: non-coding RNA, 73 nt
Organism: Paramuricea clavata
Lineage: Eukaryota; Metazoa; Cnidaria; Anthozoa; Malacalcyonacea; Plexauridae
Source: the annotation of a GenBank genome assembly